RNAcentral lists this long non-coding RNA (1614 nucleotides) under Chloebia gouldiae (Gouldian finch). Its description in RNAcentral is "Erythrura gouldiae (Gouldian finch) lncRNA (ENSEGOG00005005824.1)". The record is from RNAcentral. Lineage: Eukaryota; Metazoa; Chordata; Aves; Passeriformes; Passeridae.
GGAACUUACAGCCACUCAAAUCCUUCUUCUGGGAAAAAGGUCCCAUAAAGUGCUUCCCAACACUUGCAAGAAUGCAAACAGGAUUUGAAGAAGUGAAAAUCAGUCGUUUGAGCAUUCAGAUCAAACAGAAAAGAGGAGAGAAGGACGCCGAGGAUGUGAAAUCUUGUACAGACACCUGCAAAAACCAAAGCAGCUGUUUGCUGUGUUGCACUGGCAGGAGUGCUGUGCAGAGCAGGAGGAGUGGUUGCCUCACAAAGUUUUGGGCUUGUGAGGUACUGCAGUGUGAUGGGAAAAAUUACCACAAGCCUUUUUAUUCACACCAGCAUGUUCUGCAAGCGCUGUCUUUCCAUUGUGACAUCCCUUCUUGUGGCCUUGCCUCACUCAUCUCCACCACCUGUCACUACCCUGGCCAGUGCUGCAAACUGCAAAUCCCUGGAGGAGAGGGAAUCCCUCUUAUUUGCAAGAAGGCUUCUAUUUUCUGGUCUUGGAGUGAGUUUGGAAGUCUGUUGUUGCCUUUGUGAAGGAUUUUGUGACACAUCAGUCUGGAUUUCCCGGUUCUUUCGCAGAGCAUCGCAGGGACAGACUUUAUUUAGAUUUGCACUUGCAGUGUCUGAGCGAGCGAGGGUGGUACUUGUCAGCACGAUGGAAAUCUUUUCUCCUUGCUUGUGACACGCCCGCACAGUGGGCGUGCCGAUGUGCCGGCAGCGUGUGUCGUGACUGUCCGCAGGUGAUGCUCGUCCCUGGGCUGCGCUCCCCGUGCUGCGCUGCACUCCUGGCUGCCCAUCCCUUCUCCAAUGGAGCAACAGUGCCAACUGCUGGCUGCUGCUCCUGGCCUGCCAUCAUCCCCUAAGCUUCAUUCUGAUGCCAGCGCCGCCUAAAACACAUCAGCGUCCCCUCUGCUGACCGCCUGGCUAUUUAGCAAUGAUGUCUCCGUUUGUUAGUCCCUUUUUUCCAUACCAAACAAUAUUCUGUUGAGCUCAGGUAAGCCUCAGGUUACCUUUGCUGGAGACGUUUCUAAUUGUUUCAUGUUGGUUUAAAGCUGUGUGUCUCUCCUGAUCUCCCAGGACAGGCUGAUCCAAGAUGGGAGGAGGUUUCUGCUCGGGGUGCCAUCAAGUGCUGCCUGAAAAUUUUUUAAUCAUUCAGUUGUGGCAGCAAUAUGCCAGCUAUGUAUUUGGGACACUCUUAUUGUUAUAGCCACAAUGGGGAAAACAAGAUGGUGAUUAAUGUGUUUCUGCACAGAGUACAGAUAGCACUUUUACUCAGUAAAGAAAAAAUAAUGAAAGAAAAGGAGAGGGUAAGAAAAAGGAGAUAAUCUACAGCUUGAUUUUACUCGAAUUUCAGUGAAAUGUUUUAAUAGAAAAAAUAGUUUGUGUUUUGUUUUUGUUUUCCCAAGAGGCGCUUGUCUUGGAAAAGACAAGUUUGUUUCUUUAAAUGUUUCCUGUGAGAAGGGGGUUACAAUGUUUGCAGGAGGUGACGGUAGAGAGGACGCAUAUAUAUAGGCAGCAGGAAACCGGGGAAGAAAAAAAGCAUAAAAAGGAAACAAUUAAGAGAGUUUUUUAGAAGAAGGAGAAAGACAGUGAACGGGUAAAGCAAUAAACCUGGCAGAGAUGAUCA